CCUACGGGGGGCUACAGUGGGGAAUAUUGGACAAUGGGGGCAACCCUGAUCCAGCCAUGCCGCGUGUGUGAAGAAGGCCCUCGGGUUGUAAAGCACUUUCAGUGAGGAAGAACGCCUGGUGGUUAAUACCCAUCAGGAAAGACAUCACUCACAGAAGAAGCACCGGCUAACUCCGUGCCAGCAGCCGCGGUAAUACGGAGGGUGCGAGCGUUAAUCGGAAUUACUGGGCGUAAAGCGCGCGUAGGUGGCUUGAUAAGCCGGUUGUGAAAGCCCCGGGCUCAACCUGGGAACGGCAUCCGGAACUGUCAAGCUAGAGUGCAGGAGAGGAAGGUAGAAUUCCCGGUGUAGCGGUGAAAUGCGUAGAGAUCGGGAGGAAUACCAGUGGCGAAGGCGGCCUUCUGGACUGACACUGACACUGAGGUGCGAAAGCGUGGGUAGCAAACAGGAUUAGAUACCCCGGUAGUC
Molecule: ribosomal RNA, 465 nt
Filed under: Vreelandella stevensii
Lineage: Bacteria; Pseudomonadati; Pseudomonadota; Gammaproteobacteria; Oceanospirillales; Halomonadaceae
Description: partial 16S ribosomal RNA
Rfam family: Bacterial small subunit ribosomal RNA
Source: RNAcentral